RNAcentral lists this long non-coding RNA (290 nucleotides) under Brassica napus (rape). RNAcentral describes it as "long non-coding RNA (BNAP_LNC018754)". The record is from RNAcentral. Lineage: Eukaryota; Viridiplantae; Streptophyta; Magnoliopsida; Brassicales; Brassicaceae.
UCUGUAAAUUUCUUGAUCGCGUAAGAUCUGCCUUCGAUGACGGCCUUGUACCAAGUAAAGGCUUCUGGUAUAUCAUGGAGAUAAAACUUGGGGUCGAAGUGAUCUGUGGCCUUGGAGAUUUGAUCGGAAACUUGUACCAAGUAAAGGCUUCUGGUAUAUCAUGGAGAUAAAACUUGGGGUCGAAGUGAUCUGUGGCCUUGGAGAUUUGAUCGGAAGAGAAGAUUCGGAUAGGGUUUGAUACACCGUUACAGUCUGCAAUGAGUUGCUGAAGAAAGAUGCUUCCAUUUUCG